This 252-nucleotide ribosomal RNA is filed under the name uncultured bacterium. RNAcentral's name for it is "partial 16S ribosomal RNA". It matches the Rfam family "Bacterial small subunit ribosomal RNA", at positions 524 to 776 of the family's 1533-position model. The record is from RNAcentral.
UACGUAGGUCCCGAGCGUUGUCCGGAUUUAUUGGGCGUAAAGCGAGCGCAGGUGGUUUAUUAAGUCUGGUGUAAAAGGCAGUGGCUCAACCAUUGUAUGCAUUGGAAACUGGUAGACUUGAGUGCAGGAGGGGAGAGUGGGAUUCCAUGUGUAGCGGUGAAAUGCGUAGAUAUAUGGAGGAACACCGGUGGCGAAAGCGGCUCUCUGGCCUGUAACUGACACUGAGGCUCGAAAGCGUGGGGAGCAAACAGG